UUGGGAGCCGUGGCACUGUCAAGUCAUCAGACGCGGUGAUUGCGAGGCCUGUGGGAAAGUACAAAAGCCUGGGCUAGAUUACCCCUCUCAUCGAGCCCGCCUGUGUGGCACCUGUUUCUUAUCACCCCACUAAGUUCCCGCCUCACAGGGUAGUCUGCCUAGCUAUUAAUCCUAUAUAUAGCCAGUGCCUCCACCCCCGAGAGAGAGAGAGACUGAAGCACAAAAGGAGCCACGGGGAGCGGACCGGUAGAGGCUUCGGGGCAGACUGAAGCACGGAAGGAGCCGCGGAGAGCGCACCGGUAGAGGCUUCAGGGCAGACUGUAUAAGGAGAGAAUAAAGAAAAGCCUGACCACCGCCAGACCUUGUCGUGUGUCUUUCCUGCCGGCCGGGAGCGGACAUCGACAUUUGGAGGCCCGCACGGGGAUUGAUCAACCCCGAGACGCGGCGGUGGACUGCAUUCUCCUACACAGUGCUGCAGCUGCAGGACAGGAAUCGGGACGAGAACCAAUGUGGGUCCCAGAGAGGUUGACGCGACAAGUCCCUCGACUGAAGAUCAGGCCUGUUCCACCAGAGGCCAACCGCAGACCCAACAACAAGAUGAGCCCUAAAAGAACUGCAGGACAAUCCCUUUUUGGGGGCCUGGAACGGCUUGCUCCCCUAUGUGCUACCCUUGUAUACGCAUGGCUCGCUCGCAUGGCCUACGACCGCGUUUAAAAGUGACAGGCUUCCCACAUUCUCCUCCCUAGACAACAACAUGUAGCAGGGUGGGUGAGUCAAUGACGGGUAAGAGCGUGCCUCCCCAGCACGACUCAACCUAAGCCAGGCCCUACCCCGUUCCGCUCGAAAGCCGCUGGAUUGUUAGAUAAAUUUCUCUCCGAGGGGAUUCGUGGAGAGAAAUGAGUGCAUGCCUAUGUGCAACCAGGUUCCGUCCGGUUCAUUCCUGGCCCUAGAAAAAAGGACGAGGGCCUGAGGGCCUUGGUGGACCCUGGGACGGCCGACCAGGGUCUACGCUAAGGGCCUACGGUGGGCCUCAGUUCGGGGCAUAGGCCUCUGCACUCUAUCCAGGACGGGCUGCGAUGCGCGUAGCCAUCAUUUAAAAUAAAAUAGGGGGAGAUGUUGGGAGCCGUGGCACUGUCAAGUCAUCAGACGCGGUGAUUGCGAGGCCUGUGGGAAAGUACAAAAGCCUGGGCUAGAUUACCCCUCUCAUCGAGCCCGCCUGUGUGGCACCUGUUUCUUAUCACCCCACUAAGUUCCCGCCUCACAGGGUAGUCUGCCUAGCUAUUAAUCCUAUAUAUAGCCAGUGCCUCCACCCCCGAGAGAGAGAGAGACUGAAGCACAAAAGGAGCCGCGGGGAGCGGACCGGUAGAGGCUUCGGGGCAGACUGAAGCACGGAAGGAGCCGCGGAGAGCGGACCGGUAGAGGCUUCAGGGCAGACUGUAUAAGGAGAGAAUAAAGAAAAGCCUGACCACCGCCA
Molecule: long non-coding RNA, 1474 nt
Organism: Cavia porcellus (domestic guinea pig)
Lineage: Eukaryota; Metazoa; Chordata; Mammalia; Rodentia; Caviidae
Exons: 2
Source: RefSeq, a predicted model, not a curated record